Molecule: ribosomal RNA, 479 nt
Filed under: uncultured bacterium
Lineage: Bacteria
Description: bacterial SSU rRNA
Rfam family: Bacterial small subunit ribosomal RNA
Source: RNAcentral
GACGAACGCUGGCGGCGUGCUUAACACAUGCAAGUCGAACGAUGAAGCCUUCGGGUGGAUUAGUGGCGAACGGGUGAGUAACACGUGGGUGACCUGCCCUGCACUUUGGGAUAAGCCUGGGAAACUGGGUCUAAUACCGGAUAGGACCAUGGCCUGCAUGGGUUGUGGUGGAAAGCUUUUGCGGUGUGGGAUGGGCCCGCGGCCUAUCAGCUUGUUGGUGGGGUGAUGGCCUACCAAGGCUGCGACGGGUAGCCGGCCUGAGAGGGUGUCCGGCCACACUGGGACUGAGAUACGGCCCAGACUCCUACGGGAGGCAGCAGUGGGGAAUAUUGCACAAUGGGCGCAAGCCUGAUGCAGCGACGCCGCGUGGGGGAUGACGGCCUUCGGGUUGUAAACCUCUUUCAAUAGGGACGAAGCGCAAGUGACGGUACCUAUAGAAGAAGCACCGGCCAACUACGUGCCAGCCGCCGCCGUAACAC